UUUCAUGCUGGGAACUGUUCUGCUCCUCAUUCUUUUGGGAGUAAGACUAUCUGUGGCAUAUAAAAUAAAGGAGUUUUCAGGGCUGCUAGCCAUGUAGUGAAGAUUAAGUGAUAGUCUAUUUCUCCUACAGAA
This 132-nucleotide small nucleolar RNA is filed under the name Balaenoptera musculus (blue whale). RNAcentral's name for it is "Small nucleolar RNA U109 (ENSBMSG00010020545.1)". It matches the Rfam family "Small nucleolar RNA U109". Lineage: Eukaryota; Metazoa; Chordata; Mammalia; Artiodactyla; Balaenopteridae. The record is from Rfam by way of RNAcentral.